Molecule: long non-coding RNA, 261 nt
Filed under: Lathyrus oleraceus (garden pea)
Lineage: Eukaryota; Viridiplantae; Streptophyta; Magnoliopsida; Fabales; Fabaceae
Description: Pisum sativum (pea) long non-coding RNA (PSAT_LNC023042)
Source: RNAcentral
AAGUACAUACACAUCUGUAGGAAUGCUGAGAAACAAACAAAAAAAAACACAAAGAACUCCACCAAAACAACAUAAAACCAUCCAAACAAGAGGGACCAAAGCCAACAGAGCUACUCAGUAGAGCUUGAGUUUGCAGCCUCUUCAUCAGCACCAGAAGCAGAAUUGCCACUAGCAUCAUCAUUGUUAGCAGACCUCUCACUAGAGGUGUGGGCUUCAGCUUCUUCUUCAUGGAUGACAUUAGCAUAUUCAACAUUUUCAUUC